This 68-nucleotide transfer RNA is filed under the name Eysarcoris guttigerus. Its description in RNAcentral is "tRNA-Gln". Lineage: Eukaryota; Metazoa; Arthropoda; Insecta; Hemiptera; Pentatomidae. The record is from RNAcentral.
UAUAUUUUAGUGUUAAGUGCACGAGAAAUUUUGAUUUUCUAAGUUAUGGAGUGAUCUAUAAAAUAUAA